GUCGAGAAUCUUUCACAAUGGGGGCAACCCUGAUGGAGCGACGCCGCGUGGAGGAUAAGGUCUUCGGAUUGUAAACUCCUGUCAUGCGUGAACAAGGUUGCUUGGAUAAUACCUGAGCAAAUUGAUGGUAGCGCAAGAGGAAGAGACGGCUAACGCUGUGCCAGCAGCCGCGGUAAUACAGAGGUCUCAAGCGUUGUUCGGAAUAACUGGGCGUAAAGGGUGCGUAGGUGGGGUGGCAAGUCAGAUGUGAGAGCCCGGGGCUCAACCUCGGAACUGCAUCCGAUACUGCCAUGCUAGAGUACUGGAGGGGUGACUAGAAUUCUCGGUGUAGCAGUGAAAUGCGUAGAUAUCGAGAGGAAUACCAAAGGCGUAGGCAGGUCACUGGACAGUUACUGACACUGAGGCACGAAGGCCAGGGGAGCGAACGGGAUUAGAAACCCGGGUAGUCC
Molecule: ribosomal RNA, 449 nt
Filed under: uncultured bacterium
Lineage: Bacteria
Description: partial 16S ribosomal RNA
Rfam family: Bacterial small subunit ribosomal RNA
Source: RNAcentral